RNAcentral lists this ribosomal RNA (119 nucleotides) under candidate division TM6 bacterium GW2011_GWF2_37_49. The record is from RNAcentral.
UUCCUGGUGGCGAUAGUAACAGGGAAACACCCGUUCCCAUUCCGAAUACGGCAGUUAAGUCUGUUACGCCGAAGGUACUUGUCGGGAGACUGACCGGUAAAAUAGGUACUGCCAGGAUU